UAACACAUGCAAGUCGAGCGAGAUCUUCGGGUCUAGCGGCGGACGGGUUAGUAACGCGUGGGAACGUGCUUUUCUCUGCGGAAUAGCCACUGGAAACGGUGAGUAAUACCGCAUACGCCCUUCGGGGGAAAGAUUUAUCGGAGAAGGAUCGGCCCGCGUUAGAUUAGAUAGUUGGUGGGGUAAUGGCCUACCAAGUCUACGAUCUAUAGCUGGUUUUAGAGGAUGAUCAGCAACACUGGGACUGAGACACGGCCUAGACUCCUACGGGAGGCAGCAGUGGGGAAUCUUAGACAAUGGGCGCAAGCCUGAUCUAGCCAUGCCGCGUGUGUGAUGAAGGUCUUAGGAUCGUAAAGCACUUUCGCCAGGGAUGAUAAUGACAGUACCUGGUAAAGAAACCCUGGCUAACUCCGUGCCAGCAGCCGCGGUAAUACGGAGGGGGUUAGCGUUGUUCGGAAUUACUGGGCGUAAAGCGUACGUAGGCGGAUCAGAAAGUAAGGGGUGAAAUCCCAGGGCUCAACCCUGGAACUGCCUCUUAAACUCCUGGUCUUGAGUUCGAGAGAGGUGAGUGGAAUUCCAAGUGUAGAGGUGAAAUUCGUAGAUAUUUGGAGGAACACCAGUGGCGAAGGCGGCUCACUGGCUCGAUACUGACGCUGAGGUACGAAAGUGUGGGGAGCAAACAGGAUUAGAUACCCUGGUAGUCCACACCGUAAACGAUGAAUGCCAGUCGUCGGGCAGUAUACUGUUCGGUGACACACCUAACGGAUUAAGCAUUCCGCCUGGGGAGUACGGUCGCAAGAUUAAAACUCAAAGGAUUGACGGGGGCCCGCACAAGCGGUGGAGCAUGUGGUUUAAUUCGAAGCAACGCGUAGAACCUUACCAACCCUUGACAUCCUGUGCUAACCCGAGAGAUCGGGCGUUCACUUCGGUGACGCAGUGACAGGUGCUGCAUGGCUGUCGUCAGCUCGUGUCGUGAGAUGUUCGGUUAAGUCCGGCAACGAGCGCAACCCACAUCUUUAGUUGCCAGCAGUUCGGCUGGGCACUCUAAGGAAACUGCCCGUGAUAAGCGGGAGGAAGGUGUGGAUGACGUCAAGUCCUCAUGGCCCUUACGGGUUGGGCUACGCACGUGCUACAAUGGUAGUGACAAUGGGUUAAUCCCCAAAAGCUGUCUCAGUUCGGAUUGGGGUCUGCAACUCGACCCCAUGAAGUCGGAAUCGCUAGUAAUCGUGGAACAGCAUGCCACGGUGAAUACGUUCCCGGGCCUUGUACACACCGCCCGUCACACCAUGGGAGUUGGUUCUACCCGACGGCCGUGCGCCAACCUUUCGAGGAGGCAGCGGACCACGGUAGGAUCAGCGACUGGGGUG
Molecule: ribosomal RNA, 1364 nt
Filed under: uncultured Roseobacter sp.
Lineage: Bacteria; Pseudomonadati; Pseudomonadota; Alphaproteobacteria; Rhodobacterales; Roseobacteraceae
Description: bacterial SSU rRNA
Rfam family: Bacterial small subunit ribosomal RNA
Source: RNAcentral